AAUCAUGGCUCAGGACGAACGCUGGCGGCGUGCCUAACACAUGCAAGUCGAGCGGAGACAGUGAGUAGCUUGCUAUGAGCUGUUUUAGCGGCGGACGGGUGAGUAACGCGUGAGCAACCUUUCCCAGACAGGGGAAUAACACACCGAAAGGUGUACUAAUACCGCAUAAGACCACGGAAUCACAUGGUUCUGAGGUAAAAGAUUUAUCGGUUUGGGGUGGGCUCGCGUCCGAUUAGGUAGUUGGUGAGGUAACCGG
RNAcentral lists this ribosomal RNA (256 nucleotides) under uncultured bacterium. RNAcentral describes it as "partial 16S ribosomal RNA". It matches the Rfam family "Bacterial small subunit ribosomal RNA", at positions 15 to 263 of the family's 1533-position model. The record is from RNAcentral.